AGUACAAGCAACUCUUCCUGUCUUCUUAUCCAGAGUCACAAGAGGAUGGGAGAGGAGCAGUCUGCAAGCAGCCGUAGGAGCAAGACCUUGAGACGUGUCCAUCAAUGCUACGAUAGAUUCUGCUUUGGAGAUCAACAUGCUGUAUAUCACAAUAAUGAUGGGACUCACGGCAUGGAGGAUGGACAGAGGAGCUUUCUCCUGGAGUGGUAUUUCUGGAAUUUCUAGUGUCAGGUGCUACUUAAUAUCUCUCACAAGAAAAGAAGAAAUCCCUCUGCCUUUUAAUGUUCUGGGAAUAGAAAGAAUAAAGGAGACUGAGGUGAAUCCACCAAGGAGUAUAGCAAUUUCUAUUUGUCUCCUUAAUAGUCCAACACUUCACUCACACAACAAUGUUACGUAGUUUCAUCAAAUGAUGAGUCCAGCCCCUUUCUUCUGCAGAAAAUGUCAGUUCACUGCUCCUUGCCUACAAAAUAGAAAUUAGAGAGAUACCAGCUUUUCUAGCCAGACUACAAAAUUACUUUGACUAAAUCGCUAAAAAUUCAGCCUCUCUACCAAUUUCCACAAUACGUCUCAAAUGGUAACUUUAAUCUCUGUUUGUGCCUUUCAGGAAUCCAAUGAGCAAACAAUUCUUUCUCUAAAGCAACUCUCCCUUCAGCCCAUUGUGUUGUAGGUCUUUUCAGUCCCCUGAGAAACUCAUAAUUCCUGUAGCUGAUGUCCAUCUUCCCCAAAAUGUAUUACCAUUUAUUAUUUGCAUGUAUGUCCUUUUUCAUUUGCUUUAUUCCUAUGGGUUUAUGCUCUCCUUCCCUUGUUUUCUUAAAGAUAAAAAUCCCCUUACUUUUAUUUCAAUGAUGUUGGGAAAGUGUCGUAAAUAAAGGUUGUCAAUGUUCUCUGUUCCUUGAACUUUUAAAUCAAUGAUUAAAAACAGCAUCAUGAUAAAUUUUAAGAAAAUAAUAUAUUCAGAUGAUAUUAUUUCCUUUGGCAUAAUGAUUGUGAUUUGCACUUAAAAAUGAUUACUUGUGGAAAGAUUUUCAUAUGCCUUACAAAUGAUCCAGAGCUUCUGUGAAAGAUUUUAUGUGUACAGUUAAAAACGAUUUUGUGUAUAUUGACUUAAGAACAUGUAUUAAUUUAGGGGUUCCAAGAUGGCCGAAUAGGAACAGCUCCAGUCUACAGCUCCCAGUGUGAGUGAUGCAGAAGACAGAUGAUUUCUGCAUUUCCAACUGCGGUACCGGGUUCAUCUCACUGGGGAUUGUCGGACAGUGAGUGCAGGACAGUGGGGGCAGUGCACCAAGCAUGAGCCGAAGCAGGGCAAGGCCUCGCCUCACCCGGGAAGCACAAACAGUCAGGGAAUUCCCUUUCCUAGCCAAGGAAAGGGGUGAAAGAUGGCACCUGGAAAAUCGGGUCACUCCCACCCUAAUACUCUGCUUUUCCAAUGGUCUUAGCAAAUGGCACACCAGGAGAUUAUAGCCCACGCCUGGCUUGGAGGGUCCUACGCCCAUGGAGCCUCGCUCAUUGCUAGCACAGCAGUCUGAGAUCAAACUGCAAGGUGGCAGCUAGGCUGGGGGAGGGGUGCCCGCCAUUGCUGAGGCUUGAGCAGGUAAACAAGGUGGCCCGGAAGCUCGAACUGGGUGGAGCCCACUGCAGCUCAAAGAGGACUGCCUGCCUCUGUAGACUCCACCUCUGGGGACAGGGCAUAGCCAAACAAAAGACAGCAGAAACCUCUGCAGACUUAAAUGUCCCUGUCUGACAGACUGGAAGACAGUAGUGGUUCUCCUAGCACGCAGCUUGAGAUCUGAGAAUGGGCAGACUGCCUCCUCAAGUGGGUCCCUGACCCCCGAGUAGCCUAACUGGGAGGCAUCCCCUCCAGUAGGGGCAGACUGACACCUCACACGGCCAGGUACUCCUCUGAGACAAAACUUCCAGAGGAACGAUCAGGCAGCAACAUUUGCUGUUCACCAAUAUUCACUGUUCUGCAGCCUCCGCUGCUGAUACCCAGGAAAACAGGGUCUGGAGUGGACCUCUGGCAAACUCCAACAGACCUGCAGCUGAGGGUCCUGACUGUUAGAAGGAAAACUAACAAACAGAAAGGACAUCCACACCAAAAACCCAUCUGUACGUCACCAUCAUUAAAGACCAAAGGUAGAUAAAACCACAAAGAUGGGGAAAAAACAGAGCAGUAAAACCGAAAAAUCUAAAACUCAGAGCUCCUCUCCUCCUCCAAAGGAGCGCAGCUCCUCACCAGCAAUGGAACAAAGCUGGAUGGAGAAUGAUUUUGGUGAGCUGAGAGAAGAAGGCUUCAGAUGAUCAAACUUCUCCGAGCUAAAGGAGGAAGUUCGAACCCAUAGCAAAGAAGUUAAAAUACUUGAAAAAAGAUUAGACACAUGGCUAACUAGAAUAACCAAUGCAGAGAAGUCAUUAAAGGAACUGAUGGAGCUGAAAACCAUGGCACGAGAACUACGUGGCGAAUGCACAAGCUUUAGUAGCUGAUUUGAUCUACUGGAAGAAAGGGUAUCAGUGAUGGAAGAUCAAAUGAAUGAAAUGAAGCCAGAAGAGAAGUUUAGAGAAAAAAGAAUAAAAAGAAAUGAACAAACCCUCCAAGAAAUAUAGGACUAUGUGAACAGACCAAAUCUAUAUAAACAGAACCAAAGACAAAAACCACAUGAUUAUCUCAAUAGAUGCAGAAAAGGUCUUCGAAAAAAUUCAACAGCCCUUCAUGCUAAAAACUCUCAAAAAAUUAGGUAUUGAUGGGCCAUAUCUCAAAAUAAUAAGAGCUAUUUAUGACAAACCCACAGCCAAUAUCAUACUGAAUGGGCAAAAACUGGAAGCAUUCCCUUUGAAAACUGGCGCAAGACAGGGAUGCCCUCUCUCACCACUCUUAUUCAACAUAGUGUUGGAAGUUCUGGCCAGGGCAAUCAGGUAGGAGAAGGAAAUAAAGGGUAUUCAAUUAGGAAAAGAGGAAGUCAAAUUGUCCCUGUUUGCAGAAGACAUGGUUGUAUAUCUAGAAAACCUCAUCGUCUCAGCCCCAAAUCUCCUUAAGCUGAUAAGCAACUUCAGCAAAGUUUCAGGAUACAAAAUCAAUGUGCAAAAAUCACAAGCAUUCUUAUACACCAAUAACAGACAAACAGAGAGCCAAAUCAUGAGUGAACUCCCAUUCACACUUGCUUCGAAGAGAAUAAAAUACCUAGGAAUCCAACUUAUAAGGGAUGUGAAGGACCUCUUCAAGAAGAACUACAAACCACUGCUCAAUGAAAUAAAAGAGGAUACAAAUGGAAGAACAUUCCAUGCUCAUGGGUAGGAAGAAUCAAUAUCGUCAAAAUGGCCAUACUGCCCAAGGUAAUUUAUAGAUUCAAUGCCAUCCCCGUCAAGCUACCAAUGACUUUCUUCACAGAAUUGGAAAAAACUACUUUAAAGUUCAUAUGGAACCAAAAAAGAGCCCACAUUGCCAAGUCAAUCCUAAGCCAAAAGAACAAAGCUGGAGGCAUCAUCCUACCUGAAUUCAAACUGUACUACAAGGCUACAGUAACCAAAACAGCAUGGCAUUGGAACCAAAACAGAGACACAGACCAAUGGAACCGAACAGAGCUUUCAGAAAUAAUGCCACACAUCUACAACUAUCUGAUCUUUGACAAACGUGACAAAAACAAGAAAUGGGGAAAGGAUUCCCUAUUUAAUAAAUGAUGCUGGGAAAACUGGCUAGCCAUACGUAGAAAGCUGAAACUGGAUCCCUUCC
This 3724-nucleotide long non-coding RNA is filed under the name Homo sapiens (human). Its description in RNAcentral is "non-protein coding LINC02485:8". Lineage: Eukaryota; Metazoa; Chordata; Mammalia; Primates; Hominidae. The record is from RNAcentral.